RNAcentral lists this ribosomal RNA (204 nucleotides) under uncultured bacterium. Its description in RNAcentral is "partial 16S ribosomal RNA". It matches the Rfam family "Bacterial small subunit ribosomal RNA", at positions 1288 to 1500 of the family's 1533-position model. The record is from RNAcentral.
UCAUUCGGAUCGGAGUCUGNAACCCGACUCCGUGAAGCUGGAUUCGCUAGUAAUCGCGCAUCAGCCAUGGCGCGGUGAAUACGUUCCCGGGCCUUGUACACACCGCCCGUCAAGCCAUGGAAGCCGGGGGCGCUUGAAGUGCGUUGCCGCAAGGCGCGCCCUAGAGCGAAACCGGUGACUGGGGCUAAGUCGUAACAAGGUACC